UGAAUUAGUCUUACAUUAUAUAAAAAAAGCAAAUUAAUACAAAAAAUCCUUAAAAGUUGAUAAGAAAUGGAAAUCAGUAGAUUAAAGGUAGAUCAUGUUUGUCAGCGGUGUGUAUCUAGCUGACUUACCUAGCUAAUGAUUUUGUUUGUACAAUGCCUUUUGCUGGAUGUCUGUGGCAACCUAGAUACCUAGUUAGGAUGGGAAUUGGAACUGAACUUCUGGAGUCUGAAGGUAGCACAUACCAAAAACAUAGGCUAAGUUAGGAGAGGGGAAGGAAGUUCAGUCAGCCUAGAAAGCAGGAUUGAAAAGUAAUGGUGUCUUCUAUAGCAAGAAGAAUUUCCACAAAUUGAGAUAUACGGAAGUGCAUCACUUUCAUUAUUGUCUCUCUCUCUCUUUUUUUUGCUGAGGAAGGUUUGCCUCAGCUAACAUCCAUUGUCAAUCUUCCUCUUGUUGUAUGUAAGCCACCACCACAGCAUGGCCACUGACAGACAAGUAGUGUAGGUUUAUGCUCAGAAACCAAACCCAGGCUGCUGAAGCAGAACACACCAAACUUAACCACUAGGUCACCAGGGAUGGCCCUUUAUUGUUUUAUAGCUGUAAUUAGUAUCUGUCUUGAGUUUACUCUUUCUGAAAAUAGAAAAUUUAAUCUGUCAUUCUCAGAUAAACUGAAUAAAGUUCAGCCAUGUUGACACCAUUUUCAGUAUUUAGUAUUUCGAGUUUCUAUCUCCCUCCUCUUGGGUUAUGUUUAUACCUAAAGGAGCUCAGAUUUCAUGCUAGCAUCUUGGGGUUGGCCUUUGGAAAAGAGUGUCUGGUUUGUGCUGCCCCCAUCCUUUGUGGCCCCUGGUUCUUGAAAGCUGGCAUCUGCCCCAUCACCAACCGCUGCUGAGGUCUGCUUUCCUGUCAGUUUCUGACUUUUGUGCACAAUAACUCUGCUGAGUGUCCCUCUGUCAAAGCCAUGAGAUCUCUUAGAAUUUUCUACCUUCCCUGAGUCAUUGCUGUGCUCAUCUGGGGUGCUCAGGAAACACUAGAUGCCCUCCCAUAUCCUUCUGUGGCCUUCUGCUACUUAGGAAGCUGCCUCAGUUCAUGUUCUUCUGGGCCUUUACCUGCCAUCAUUUCUUUUCCUGGCUAUAGCACCAUGUUGGUGUAGGAAAGAACUCAGAAUGCCUUGUGGUCUGCUUUCAAAUCCUUUAAAUGUAAACAGAGUUUCUAUGCACUCCCUGCUCCCAACACAUUGGGCAGAGUGUGUGUGUGUUUGUGUGUGUGUGUGUGUGUGUGUGUGUGUGUGUGUAAGUUCCCUGUUCUGAAAUUCACACUAGAAGUUUAUCCCAUUGGUCUUUUCUCCAUCUACUAUGUGCUUCCUUAGCAAAUCUCCUAACUUAUAUCCUACUGGUGAGAAAAAAUCAGCUCUUAUAUUAACUUGCUUCCUUUGCUAUUCAUAAUGUAAACAUUAAGAACUUAGCUUUGUGAAGUAAAAACAAAAAGAAAAUGACAACAAAACACCUUUAUGCAUGUCUGUUUUUGGACAGCCUAGAUUUAAAAAAAUCCUGAGGGAGAAAAAUUUAGGUGUUAUAUCAAGUGGAUUUUUUUUUGUCCUAAUUGAAAAUAAAUUUUGGAUAAUUUUAGUUACUGACAGGCUAAGUAGAUUUUCAUGUCCCCUAAGUAAGGCCAUGGUUACUAAAUGCUUCAUAUAUAUCCGUGCACAUGAUUCAGCCCUUUGGGACACAUCAUAGUCUCUAUGCUGUAGAAGGGGGCAGCAACGGACAUACCACUUUCACUGUAUCUUACUAAGCAUUAUUUCUUUCCUCUCUCAAUCACUAUGUUUAUGUGACAUACUAUCUUGUGACUGCUUUCCCUGACACCCAUAAUCCUUUUGUGAUAUUUCAUCCUGCUCAGAACCUUAGACAUCAGCUGGUUUCCCUAAUUUCCUCCACUCACCAGGAAUUAUUCAUUGUUCUUAUUCCCUCUGUUCAGGCAUAUGUCCCAUGUCCCCCUCAGGCUAGUUGUCAUGUCACACAACAUGUUGCUACUGAUAAUCUUGGAAUUAUCUUCCCCUCAAACCAGUGGUUAAUGUAAUGAUUGUUUUGGUAUUUUUUUUAUUAAUCUAUAGCAAUGCAAUUUGUGUUCAACACUGUUGUUUUUAAAUGUCUAUUGAUAAUUUACAAUUUACUGUUCCUUUUGCACAAAAUGCUAUUAAAUAACAUCGAGUAAUUAGUUACGUACACAUGUCCAGGAUUUUAUAGACUUAUAACCGAGCAAGCCAUUUUAAGAGUUUCUUUCUUGGUAGAGACAUUUAUAGGGAAAGAGUGGUGAGAUUCAAAAAUAAAUUUAGUUCAAGGCCUGAUGACAGUGAACUGGCUUAGGUGGGUUACUAGUUUGUUUACAGAGAUUUUAAUCCAGUUAACAUCCAUCAGUACCUGCUUAAACCAAUUUUAUCUUGGAACGAGUCUGUAUAUUAGAUUACGAAAAAAGAUUCUGUCUCAGAGCAGAUUUGGAAGAGUUUUUAAUGUAAAGUUCUCCUUUUGACUCAGACAAACUUCAAAGAUUUGUCUUAGCAGAAAAACAGAUUCUCCUUGCAUAUUUGUGCUAAGAUCAUUCAUUGGAUUUUUUUUUGUUUAGUCAAUCACUUUUACAUUUUUUAUAAAUGGCGAAAAUUAGACAUAUGCUUAAUUUAUGUGAUAUGUAUGGAGUCUUGCUUACCAGGUCAUCCACAAUGUUGCAUUAUAUAAUUGAUGUUCCUUUUCCUAUAUAAAAGGAACACAGUAGUCCUCCCUUAUCUGCGGUUUUGCUUUCCAUGGUUUCAGUUACCCAUGGUCAACUGUGGUCCAAAACUAUGAAAUGAAAAAUUCAUUAAGUCCAAUUAAAGGUGUUGAUUAAUGCUCUAGCUGUUUGUUUAACAAAACUAGAACUAUUCCAUACUAAGGACAGAGAACUAACUUCUGUUCAGAGAUUUCAAAAAGAAUCCAGGCUGCAUUGUUGUCCCAGAAUUUCCUUUUCUCUCUUCCCCUCCAUGCCCUUUCUUCUAUUCUCUUCUCUGUCCCCUCCUGAUUCAUCCCCUCCUCCCUCAACUCUUUCUUUCCCUCUUUCCUCUCCUCACUCUUCUACUUUUCACUUCCUUUUCCUUCACUUUUUCUUUUAAUUUGUCUUCCUUCCUUUCUUCCUUCUUUCCUAUAACUGCUCUUGUCACCUUGUCUACUCUGAGGCAAAGGACCAAAGAACAAGUGGCUGUUUUCUUCUAGGGUUACCCACCAUCCUUAAAAAUGUAGGGCUAUCAUUUUUCCCUCUGGGAACCCAAAAUUCAUCACUGUAUCUGGCCUGCCAGGAGUGAUGAUGUAGAUUCCCGUAAGGCUAGAACUUUAUUAGUCACAGAGUAGGUAGAAGCCCAAACUCCAUGUAUGAAAUGUAGUCUUGAUUCCUUGAGAGUGGGCUUGUCAUACUUAAUUAAAUGAGCUUAGCCUUCAAGCAUGACAUUUCUGGUAUGGUUAUGAUUAUAAAUUUGGUUUAUCUAACUACAUUGAAACUAGGCAAACCACUAUGUUGCCAUGAGCGGUACAGGGAAUCAGUAAAGGCACUGUGCAUAAUAUUUGACCUAUUUCAGAAGUAGUAUCACAGCGAGUCCAAUCCACACACAUGCUAUUUUUACAGAAUCGUCAGAAAUGCCAUCAGUGGUUUGAUUAUUUAAAGAUAUUUUGUGGUUAGAAUAAGUGAACUUUAUCCCAACGUCUUUUAACUAAAACAAUUGUGAUUUUUUUUCUGUGUUCAAGCCAUUUUAAAAUCUCUCCUGAAUUCUAAACAUUAGAGGCUUUCUAGUUAAAUUAUUUUGAGAAUCUGCUAGUUUCAUUUAUAGUUCUCAUAUUAAGAAUUCAAACAUGCACAGCCUUUUUGUAGAUUCCACUGGAUUUUCAACAUAGCCAAUUAAAUCUUCUGUGAAUAAUGAAUUUUACUUCUUUCUUUCCAAAAUGGAUUUUUUUAAAAUCUUUGUUAUUCUUGCCUUAUUGCUCUGGCUAAAAUCCCCAGUACAAUGUUGAAUGGAAAUUGUAAGACCAGACAUCCUCGUCUUGUUCCUGAUAUUAAGGGGAAAACAUUCACCAUUAAGUGUAAUGUUACCCGUAGGUUUUUCAUAAAUACCCUUUAUCAGGUUGAGGAAGUUCCCUUCUAUUCUCAGUUUGUUAAAAUAUUUUUUUUAUCAGAAAAGGAUUUUGUCAAAUGCAUCUAUUUGACAUCCAUUGAGAUAGCAUAUGGUUUUUCUUUUUUUCUUUUUUUUUUGAGGAAUAUUAGCCCUGAGCUAAAAUCUGCUGCCGAUCUUCCUCUUUUUGCUGAGGAAGACUGACCCUGAGCUAACAUCCGUGCCCAUCUUCCUCUACUUUAUAUGUGGGAUGUCUACCACAGCAUGGCAUGCCAAGCAGUGCCAUGUCCACACCCUGGAUCUGAACCGGGGAACCUGGGCCACUGGAGCAGAAUGUGCGCACUUAACAGCUGCACCAUCGGGCCGGCCCUGGUUUUUCUCUUUUAGUUGUUUAAUAUGGUGAAUUACAUUGAUUGAUUUUCAAAUGAUAAACUAAUUUUGCAUUCCUGAAAUAAACCUCUCUUAUUCAUGAUAUAUUAUACAUUUUAUAUAUUACUGGAUUUGGUUUUCUAAAAUUUUGUUUUGAAACUUUGCAUCUAUGUUCCUGAGGGAUACUCAUCUGUGGUUUUCUUUCCUUGUAAUAUCUUUGUCUGGUUUUAGAAUCAUAGUAGUGCCCUUUCUUUUAGAAUGAAUUGGUAAGUGUUCCUCCUUUUCAAUUUCCUGGAAGAGUUUCUGAAGAAUUGAUACUAUUUCUUUCUAGAUAUUUGUUAGAAUUCACCAGUAAAGCCACCUAGGCUAAGAGUUUUCUUUGUCAGGAAGUUUUUAACUAAAACUUUAAUUUCUUUAAUACAUGUAGAUCUAUCCUGGUUAUCUGUUUCUUCUUGAGUGACCUUUAGUAUUUUGCACCUUUCAAAGAAUUCUAAGCUGUCAAGUUUAUUCAAUUUAUUGGUUCUCCUUUCUAUACCAAAACCUAUAGGAAAUUCUAUCAAAGAAGGUGGUUGGGGCAACUAUGGGGCUCACCUCAUUUAUUUUCCAUCACUCAAAGAUCAUUGUCUUUCAUUGCCUGAUAUCCAAAGUCUCGAAAAUCCUUCAUACAUUUUGUAUGUCUUUUGGUUUUUUUAGGCAGGAGAGGAAAUCCAGUCCUUGUUUCUCCAUUUUGGCCAGAAGAAGAGGUCUUGACCCAGGUGUUUUAAACCUAGGGAUAAAAUUUUCCUAGAAGUCAAUUUGGUGGGAGUCAUUGUGUCAGCCCAUGUUUAUGAACAUGAAGAUGCUUCUAUCCAUCUUUAAAAGUUAUGCUCAUAUUGAACCUGAAGUGAGUUUGCUCACCUGUUGCACAGCAAGCCAAUUUCUGAUGCUGGAGGAGGGAGUCCGUGACCUUGCUGGUCAGCAGCUUUCGCACCAGCCUGUAUCUCUUUGCAAAGAGGAGAUAAUGAAUCCAGGGCUUGUCCUUGGUGGUGUCUGUCUCCAUGGAGGAUAGUGGAUUCUGGAGAAAGAAAGCCAGGGAGUAAGCAGGGGAUGAGUGUUUUGGUUUUAAUCCCAUUUAUGCUGGGUUUAAUGUAGGGAAACUGAUAUCAGGGUUGGUAUAAAUUCCCCCCUAUUUUAUGUCCAUCCCUCAGUCUUGAGGGGUUUGGGGUGGUGACCAAUCUAGCUACUUCCUUCUGAAAUGGGGUGUAGGUAGUUUCAUCUCAUUGAACCAGUCUUUUAAUAAGGCAGUGAUUCUGGUGGGCUCCUGAAGUUAGGCCUGUAUCAUGUAAAUAAGUAACCAGGUAUUUAAUAAGAAGUUUUUCUAGAGAAAUAAAAAGAGAAAAACAAGGUUAAUGGUUGGAGCAAAUUAUAAACCAGUUUUCGAGACCAAGGGCAGCCAAUAAAGAUUCCUGGAAGUCAGGGGCAAAGCAUCUUUUGCAGUUUGAAAUGUCUCUGAUGGCAUCAUUGGGCACUCAGGUAACUUCUUGAGUGCCUUACACAGCACUAGACGUGAAUCUCUGUUAAGUUUAUAUUAAGUUCUCCCACUUCAGUUUGCAAGGCUUCAAGAAAAAGGGCAGAUUUACUUUUCAAUGACUCCAAAUGAAAAUGAUGGGGAAAAUACCUGAAAAUGUUAGUUUGGAGGUUUGUAGCCAGAUAUUUCAGGAGACUAAAAGAAUUCAGGAUCUAGUCCAGUUAACAGAUGUAACAAAAAUCUUAAAGACAAUUGACAGAACCAAAACCCAAUAGCCACAAAUGUGUAUUAUAGUUUCUAUUGAAACAUAAUCUUUUUCUAUUGAAACAUAAUCUUUCUCUCUAAAAUCACCCUUAAUUUCACUAGACAUAGCCAAAUUAAGACUAACUGGUUUGGGGUAACAUAAGUCUAGUUUUAAUAAAUUUGGCAUAAUUAUUUACGUAAGUACAGUAAGAAUACUAAUUGAUUACAUAGGCUUUUUAAAAUCUGCCUUGCUGGAACCUCAUAAGGAAUCUCAGGGUGAACUUUAAAGGCCUUUUGAGGUCAGGAAAUUCAAGCAAAUGACCUGUCAUCAGAUUUUGCAUGCAGUACCUACAGAUGUGGCUGAAUCCCUCUCUUUGUGACGUUCCCCAAAAUAUUGCUGUUCCUUGUGCCUGCCAAAGGGCGCGACAUUCUUUGCUCAACCUUACUAGGUCACUGAACCCAUAAGCUGGGUACCAGGUCAACAUUUCUAAGUGGUUUUAUUCCAGAAUGUCAACCUUCAUUCCUCAAAAGCUGUCUUGUCAUAUCCGAGUUUGUAUGUUUCUCUCAAACAUGACAUUCCAAUCAAAGCCUUGGUAAUAUGACCAGUGUUUCCAAAUGUGUUCUAAGAAGAACAGAUUCUUAUUGGACUUAUGCAAACAACCAUAUUGCCAUAAGAAUAAGAAUACUUACUAAUCAGGAAUUUUUACAUUUUGGAGGGCUAGGGAUAGGGAGAUAAAGAUGAAUGUUUCAAUUUUGUUCACAUUUGCUAUAAAUCAUAGUUCCUUAAGAGAAUAGAAGAAAAGUUUUUCUUAAAACUGGAAAAAAACAAAACAUCAAAAAUCAGCAAUAUCUCAAUCAAAAAGCCAUAAAGAUAAUAAUCAUCCCUAUUGGUUUAUUCAGUUCUGUGUAAUUGGUUCUUCAUCUUAUUAACAGUUUGUGAAGUCAUCAGUUUCUCUGUUAGAGUUCUGUAAUGUUUACCCAGGUUAGUUUUAUAAUCUCAAAGUUUAUUGGAAACCUGUGUUCUAGAGUGUUGGAGUCCUCUCCAUGAAUUUCUCUGAAGAUGAAACAUAUUUGCAAAAACAUCAAAGUAAAACAACUGUCUGCAAAUAACAAAACAUUCAAAAAUGGUAAUCGACAAAGGCAUUUGACUAUGUUUGUGAUAUACAACAUUUUGAGAUAAACAAAACUAUGGCUGACAAUCAGAUCAGAUAAUUUUUAAAAUGCUUAUAUCAAUAACACUCAUUUACAUAAUACCAUUUAAGAAAGUUUAUCAUUACUUGUUUGACAAUUCAUCUUAUGUAAUUUAACAUACAAAAUAAGCCUUAUUAGUUUAGUAUUUUUCUUAUAGAAAGAAAGUCAAUUUCUCUGAGAAGUCCCAGGGGCCUUCUGAAAAUCCCCAGAGAAACUUUCCCUCCUCUUCUAGGUCAAAAGAAAGCUUUUAUUCAGGACUUGAAUAUUUGUGUGUGGGGAGGAAGCUAGUCAAAAAUAUUAAAAGCUUUAAAACAUUUGAUCAAAUAGGAAACCAGGAUCACUGUGAAACCAUGUUCAGGUGUGUCUAUUCGAAGUGACAACAGAAACAGUUAAGGGGAAACAGAGUUAAAAUAGUCAAAAAAAGCCAGUUUAUAAUUUUUUUUCAAGAGCAGAUUAAAAGUUUAGGAAAAUUAUCCUUUUAAGAAAGAGGAAUUCAAGUUUUAAUUUGUACCAGUUUACUUUUGAUAUUGAAACUUAUUCACUUAAUAAAUUUAUGUUAGUCUUAGCCAACUUGGCCAUGCACAAAAUUUUACAGGGUUUUACUUUCACGAAUAUUUUGUUGCUUUUUUUAAUAUUUAGAAUUUGUCCCAGUACUUUAGGAUAAAUUUAUCUUUCUUAACUCAAGAAACAAAAAUAUUUCCAUUUUUAUACCUUUUUUUAUUGAAAACAUAUAUUUUACUUUCUUUGUAUACAGACUUUUUAGAAAUAUGUGUUUUCCCACAGAAAAUUCCUCAGCAUACAUAAAACAUGUUUAUUAAUAAACCUAAGUACUUUUCAGUUUCUUUGAUAUAAGAAACCAAAGGCAGACAAAUAUAUGCUUAGUAGUUAACCUUUAAUAUUUUACCCUAUGUGGAAAUGACCUAGAUACUCAAUAAUCUGUUAUUAUUUAACUUAACUUAGUAAAGUUAUAGAGUUUAAGUUCCCAAAAAGAUUUUGGAAGCUGUUUUUUAAGUAUUCAGGCUAUAAAACAUAAUUAUUGUACUUAAAACGCUUACCCAAUUUUAAUAAUCAUGUUUAAAUUAUUCUUAAAAACUUUAUGUGACAUUAAAGCAGUUAACAUCAUCUUAAAUUGUUUUAAGCAUAUACAUCAUAUUAUACGUAAUUAUUAAAAAAAUAGAUACUUUUAUCCUUUUACAUUUGUUUACCUGUCUUUAGCAAUUAUAUUUAGAUCAUCUACAAAAACCUCAUGAGACAGUAAACAAAAUUAGCUAUUACACUGAGUUAUUACUCUCACUGACAAAUUUUGUAACGAGAGAACAUGAGCUCAUUUGAGCAGUAAACCCAGGCUGUACGUCUGCACCAUAUCAAGUGCUGAUAACUUUGAGGACAUGUCUAUUUUAAAUCAAAUCAGCAAACUUAAAUAGGCUUUUAUUUACCAAAGAUCAUUUUAUAUCACGUUAAAUAACUGUCUUUUAGAAGUUUUGACAUAGUAAUCGAAGACUGCAUUUUAUUAUGAGAGAUUUUGAAUCCUCUGUUUCCUGAAACAGUGUUUCUCAGAAUGCCCAUUACAAUUUUAAAUUGUCUCAAAAGUUUAUUUAUUUUUACUAGUUCAAUUUUAGAUCAGGAAUUUCAGGGGAUUUGAAGCAAAGCUCAUUUUGCUGGGAAGCUCAGCAAGAGAGUAGACAAAAACAGCAGAUUUGAGUUCGGCUGCUGUCAUGUUUAAUUAUUUAAUUAUUUUCUUUUAAAGAGGCAGUAAAAUAUUUCUAAUUUUAUUUAGAAGCCUCAAAAGAUUAAAACAGGCUCCCCAUUGUUGCAGCUGGCUUUUUCAAUUGCAUACAUCAGUUUGCGUGAACUGAAACUAGCCAAUUUAAGUAUAUCAAUUUUUACAUAACUUUAUCUUAAUUUUACCAACUCUUAGAUUUUUAAUUAUAACUUACAUUAGAAUUCCAUUAACAAGUUUCAGUAUUACAAUAUUGUGUAGGGGAAGCAUUACCAGUUAGACAUAAUGUUUAUUCCCAAAGAAAACAUCCAGGCAAAUUUGACAUAACCUCUUCAUAUGAUAUUAGCUUAAACACUUUAAAUUUAUAGUCUUACUAACCUUAGUAGCCUAACUUGCCUCAAACAAUUGCUGUUCAGGUUUUUCACUCUGAUUUUUGCCUCCUGAUCUUUUAAAAUUUUUUCAAACUGUGGUGAAUAAAACAGGUUUUUCUGAUGUCCUUUAACAUUGGGGGAUCAACAGGGGAUCCCUUUAGCCCAUACAACCUUAAGCAGUGUUUUAUUUAAACCUUUGUUUUAACUUUAUUUAUAUCUGUUCUGUUUGUCUCAUUUGUCUUUUUAAUAACUAGCUAAAGAUUUUUAUCCCAUUGGGAUGAGUCGCAUGACUCUUCCUUUUCUAAUUUCUUUUUGUUAACUCAAUGUUUUUAUUAGAAUCUGUAAGACUACAAGAAGAAACUGAGACCCCCAAGUUUGAUUAAGUCAUUGUAUUUUCCUUUUAAUUUGGUCUUUUUAUAGGUACCAAUAAAGCAGGUGUUAAUCAUGAGAGCUCUCCAAAAAGUUUCCCAACUUAAGGAUCCAUUGUUUGGUCAUUUUUUUUUUUCUCAGAAGUCUAACGAAUAUUGUGGCCACGUUGUGUUACAAAAUAAAAUUAUCCCUCUUUAGACAAUGGCUUAUAACAGUAGGUUGACCUGUCAGCCAAAGUUUUCCCAAAGGGCUCUUAGGUGGAAUAGAUGCUGCACCUCCAGUGUUUACACUUUUAAAAGGAAAGACAAACAGACAAACAAUAACAAAUACCAAACAAGCAUGCUAUCCUAAAAACCCUUGGCCACAAACAGAAGCCAAAACAAAGACCAAAACCAAAAACUGAAGUGCUUCUAGUCCCAGCUUAGUCCAUGUCCUACACUCACGGGGCGCCCAACAAAUGAAGAUAUGCUAUGCAAAUCUUCCCAAAUGAGCAAGGACAAGGGACCUUGGUUGUGCACACCUGGGGGACUUACCAAAAUUUGGCCGGGAUGUCGCAACUUCAAAACAAAUGGAACCCAGAAGGCUGCUGGGUGCCCAUUAUUUUUGGCUGGUCCUGCUGGAAAAGGUUAGCACAAGGACAAAGACAAAAGCUACCAGCUACUUAUGAGAGAUGUCUUCCUAAGUCCUAAACCUAGUUUCUUCCACCACCAAAGCAAAGCGCCAUGGGCCACUGACAUCUGGUUAGCAGCCAGUUGCUUGGGGCUGUCCCUGAGAAAAGGGGCUCAGGCAGCUGCAGGACAGCUUCCAAGAGAGGCCUUUAGCCAGAGGCUGGUGUGCCACAGGCAAGUGGUCCACCUGGGGCAUUGUCCCAUCUGGGUCACCAAAUUGAUAUCAAACCUGAAGUGAGUUCGCUCACCCAUUGCACAGCAAGCCAAUCUCUGACACCGGCGGUAGUGGAAGAAAGUAGGAAUUUAACUAUUGCACAGUGCUGAGCAAGGAGAGAGGGCAGCUAAUGCUGAAAUCCCAAACUCCCUGAAAAGCUAAAAGGAAGGGUUUUUAUUUGGGGUUUUAGGUAGGGGAGGGGGAGCAUAUGGCCUUGCUGGUUGGAGCUUUCCCACCAGCCUGUCUUUGGCCUUGAGACUACUUGCAGAGAGGAGGGAGCCUGUGACCUUGCUGGUCAGCAGCUUUCGCACCAGCCUGUAUCUCUUUGCAAGGAGGAGAUAAUGAAUCCAGGGCUUGUCCUUGGUGGUGUCUGUCUCCAUGGAGGAUAGCUGAUUCUGGAGCCAGGAAGCCAGGCAGUAAGCAGGGAAUGAGUGUUUUGGUUUUAACCCCAUAUAUGCUGGAUUUAAUGUAGGGAA
Molecule: long non-coding RNA, 11251 nt
Filed under: Equus caballus (horse)
Lineage: Eukaryota; Metazoa; Chordata; Mammalia; Perissodactyla; Equidae
Description: lncRNA (ENSECAG00000048294.1)
Source: RNAcentral